This 439-nucleotide ribosomal RNA is filed under the name uncultured bacterium. RNAcentral describes it as "partial 16S ribosomal RNA". It matches the Rfam family "Bacterial small subunit ribosomal RNA", at positions 339 to 795 of the family's 1533-position model. The record is from RNAcentral.
CUACGGGGGGCACCAGUGGGGAAUAUUGGACAAUGGGCGAAAGCCUGAUCCAGCAAUGCCGCGUGAGUGAUGAAGGCCUUAGGGUUGUAAAGCUCUUUUACCCGGGAUGAUAAUGACAGUACCGGGAGAAUAAGCUCCAGCUAACUCCGUGCCAGCAGCCGCGGUAAUACGGAGGGAGCUAGCGUUGUUCGGAAUUACUGGGCGUAAAGCGCACGUAGGCGGCUUUGUAAGUUAGAGGUGAAAGCCUGGAGCUCAACUCCAGAAUUGCCUUUAAGACUGCAUCGCUCGAAUCCAGGAGAGGUCAGUGGAAUUCCGAGUGUAGAGGUGAAAUUCGUAGAUAUUCGGAAGAACACCAGUGGCGAAGGCGGCUGACUGGACUGGUAUUGACGCUGAGGUGCGGAAGCGUGGGGAGCAAACAGGAUUAGAUACCCUUGUAGUC